Molecule: ribosomal RNA, 497 nt
Filed under: uncultured bacterium
Lineage: Bacteria
Description: partial 16S ribosomal RNA
Rfam family: Bacterial small subunit ribosomal RNA
Source: RNAcentral
GAUGAACGCUGGCGGCGUGCCUAAUACAUGCAAGUCGAGCGAACAGAUGAGGAGCUUGCUCCUCUGACGUUAGCGGCGGACGGGUGAGUAACACGUGGAUAACCUACCUAUAAGACUGGGAUAACUUCGGGAAACCGGAGCUACUACCGGAUAAUAUAUUGAACCGCAUGGAUCAAUAGUGAAAGACGGCUUUGCUGUCACUUAUAGAUGGAUCCGCGCCGCAUUAGCUAGUUGGUAAGGUAACGGCUUACCAAGGCAACGAUGCGUAGCCGACCUGAGAGGGUGAUCGGCCACACUGGAACUGAGACACGGUCCAGACUCCUACGGGAGGCAGCAGUAGGGAAUCUUCCGCAAUGGGCGAAAGCCUGACGGAGCAACGCCGCGUGAGUGAUGAAGGUCUUCGGAUCGUAAAACUCUGUUAUUAGGGAAGAACAAAUGUGUAAGUAACUAUGCACGUCUUGACGGUACCUAAUCAGAAAGCCACGGCUAACUACGUG